UCCCUCCCGACUGUUUACCAAAAACACAGCACUUUGCCAACUCGUAAGAGGAAGUAUAAGGUGUGACGCCUGCCCGGUGCUCGAAGGUUAAGAGGAUGCGUCAGUCGCAAGAUGAAGCGUUGAAUUGAAGCCCGAGUAAACGGCGGCCGUAACUAUAACGGUCCUAAGGUAGCGAAAUUCCUUGUCGGUUAAAUACCGACCUGCAUGAAUGGCGUAACGAGAUGGGAGCUGUCUCAACCAGAGAUUCAGUGAAAUUGUAGUGGAGGUGAAAAUUCCUCCUACCCGCGGCAAGACGGAGAGACCCCGUGGACCUUUACUACAACUUAGCACUGCUAAUGGGAAUAUCAUGCGCAGGAUAGGUGGGAGGCUUUGAAGUAA
Molecule: ribosomal RNA, 378 nt
Filed under: Helicobacter pylori
Lineage: Bacteria; Pseudomonadati; Campylobacterota; Epsilonproteobacteria; Campylobacterales; Helicobacteraceae
Description: bacterial LSU rRNA
Rfam family: Bacterial large subunit ribosomal RNA
Source: RNAcentral